Molecule: ribosomal RNA, 253 nt
Filed under: uncultured bacterium
Lineage: Bacteria
Description: partial 16S ribosomal RNA
Rfam family: Bacterial small subunit ribosomal RNA
Source: RNAcentral
UACGGAGGAUCCAAGCGUUAUCCGGAUUUAUUGGGUUUAAAGGGUGCGUAGGCGGCCCUGUAAGUCAGCGGUGAAAUACGGCAGCUCAACUGUCGAGGUGCCGUUGAUACUGCGGGGCUUGAGUGCUGAUGAGGCAGGCGGAAUUGACGGUGUAGCGGUGAAAUGCUUAGAUAUCGUCAAGAACACCGAUAGCGAAGGCAGCCUGCCAAGGAGCAACUGACGCUGAGGCACGAAAGUGCGGGGAUCAAACAGG